UAAUACGUAGGGGGCGAGCGUUGUCCGGAUUUAUUGGGCGUAAAGAGCUCGUAGGCGGUUCAACAAGUCGGUCGUGAAAGUUCAGGGCUCAACCCUGAAAUGUCGAUCGAUACUGUUGUGACUAGGAUAUGGUAGAGGUGAGUGGAAUUCCGAGUGUAGCGGUGAAAUGCGUGGAUAUUCGGAGGAACACCAAUUGCGAAGGCAGCUCACUGGGCCACUAUCGACGCUGAGGAGCGAAAGCUAGGGGAGCAAACAGGAUUAGGUACCCUGGUAGUCCUAGCUGUAAACGAUGGAUACUAGAUGUAGGAAUUGGAUUGACGAUUUCUGUAUCGUAGCUAACGCGUUAAGUAUCCCGCCUGGGGAGUACGGUCGCAAGACUA
Molecule: ribosomal RNA, 380 nt
Filed under: uncultured Actinomycetes bacterium
Lineage: Bacteria; Bacillati; Actinomycetota; Actinomycetes
Description: bacterial SSU rRNA
Rfam family: Bacterial small subunit ribosomal RNA
Source: RNAcentral